This 393-nucleotide ribosomal RNA is filed under the name uncultured bacterium. Its description in RNAcentral is "partial 16S ribosomal RNA". It matches the Rfam family "Bacterial small subunit ribosomal RNA", at positions 523 to 918 of the family's 1533-position model. The record is from RNAcentral.
AUACGUAGGUGACAAGCGUUAUUCGGAUUUACUGGGCGUAAAGGGCGUGUAGGCGGUCUUGCAAGUCAGAAGUGAAAUUCCUGAGCUCAACUCGGGCGCUGCUUCUGAAACUGCAGGACUUGAGUGCUGGAGGGGAUAGCGGAAUUCCUAGUGGAGCGGUAAAAUGCGCAGAUAUUAGGAAGAACACCGGUGGCGAAGGCGGCUAUCUGGACAGUAACUGACGCUGAGGCACGAAAGCGUGGGGAGCAAACAGGAUUAGAUACCCUGGUAGUCCACGCUAUAAACGAUGAGUGCUAGGUGUCGGGGGUCAAACCUCGGUGCCGCAGUUAACACAUUAAGCACUCCGCCUGGGGAGUACGGCCGCAAGGCUGAAACUCAAAUGAAUUGACGGGG